CUGUAUAAAAUACAUAUGCCACAUUGCGUGAUAUAUUACAUAUAUUAACGCAUAUGACGGUUCCGUGAUAUGGACGUUACGCGCUUGCCGUGUUAUAUCUAUGUUGCGGUCCGUUUAAAUAUUGUCUAACGACACACGUUGAUUAUAAUUUAUAUAUCAUACGACAAUGUUAGAGAUUAUCAUAAUAUUUGUCGAACGAUCGACGGUGUUACCGCUGAUGCGCUUUUUACGGGGCGUAAGGCGGGACGCUUUCGACUCUUCGAGUUGGUGCGUUAUGUAACAGUAUCGCACAUACGAGAGAGGGUUGAUGGCGUGUUCAACGCCGUUCACACGUCGCGAGACAGGUAAAUAUUAUCAAUCUCUAUUAAACGAUUGGCGUACACACAAUGAUAUAUAAGACUUGAAUCAUCGACAGUAGGCGGACUCGACGUCCGAAGAGCGCAUCGACGCCGUCGUCGUUAUCGAUCGUUAUUAUUGUAAAAAAUGUAACGUGUCGUAGCGGUUGCGUCGUCGUAACGCUGACGGAUAUCGCGUCUGCCUCAUUUUUUUAUCGUUGGCCUCAGAUCAGGGAGGAUCACCCGCCGAAUUUAAGCAUAUUAGUAAGCGGAGGAAAAGAAACUAACUAGGAUUUCCUUAGUAGCGGCGAGCGAACAGGAAAGAAGCCCAGCACUGAAUCCCGCCGUUGUUCAGGCGGCGGGAGAUGUGGUGUUCGGGAGGUUCCGCUUUCUCGUCGCGAUCGCUCCUGUCCAAGUUCGUCUUGAACGGGGCCGUUUUCCCGUAGAGGGUGCCAGGCCCGUAGCGACGGAGGAUCGCGGCGAGAGGGACUCUCCUUAGAGUCGGGUUGCUUGAGAGUGCAGCCCUAAGUGGGUGGUAA
RNAcentral lists this small RNA (874 nucleotides) under Catocala juncta. RNAcentral describes it as "eukaryotic LSU rRNA". The stretch from base 555 to 874 matches the Rfam family "Eukaryotic large subunit ribosomal RNA", at positions 1 to 302 of the family's 3401-position model. The record is from RNAcentral. Lineage: Eukaryota; Metazoa; Arthropoda; Insecta; Lepidoptera; Erebidae.